CAGCCGCCGCGGGAAUACGUAGGUGGCAAGCGUUGUCCGGAAUUACUGGGCGUAAAGCGCACGUAGGCGGUUAUUCAAGUCAGAGGUGAAAGCCCGGGGCUCAACCCCGGAACUGCCUUUGAAACUAGAUGACCAGAAUCUUGGAGAGGUCAGUGGAAUUCCGAGUGUAGAGGUGAAAUUCGUAGAUAUUCGGAAGAACACCAGUGGCGAAGGCGACUGACUGGACAAGUAUUGACGCUGAGGUGCGAAAGCGUGGGGAGCAAACAGGAUUAGAUACCCCCGUAGUCCCUGUCUCUUAUAC
RNAcentral lists this ribosomal RNA (301 nucleotides) under uncultured bacterium. Its description in RNAcentral is "partial 16S ribosomal RNA". It matches the Rfam family "Bacterial small subunit ribosomal RNA", at positions 509 to 807 of the family's 1533-position model. The record is from RNAcentral.